This is a long non-coding RNA of Lynx canadensis (Canada lynx), 2442 nucleotides long. RefSeq lists it as uncharacterized. NCBI's taxonomy places the organism in Eukaryota, Metazoa, Chordata, Mammalia, Carnivora, Felidae. The record is from RefSeq and is a predicted model, not a curated record. The transcript is spliced from 2 exons.
AUACAACCUGUGCCCCACGGAAGGUGACGAGCAAAUAACUUAAUGACCAUGUUGCUGUCAUUGGCAGUAAGGGGCUGACUUUCGGUUUGGGCUAGACAAUGGCCCCAACUUGGAAGCUGUCCCUUCUGGAGAUCAGAUCCCACCUCAAACUCUCAACUCAGUGGCAGCAGAAAGGAGUGGAGACACCUGCUUCUGACGGGGAAUUCUCUGUCUCAAUCUGAGUUACGAAGAAAUAAAAACCGUGUGACCAGAGCCUUACAUUUAUCUUGCAUUUUGCAGCUUGCAAAAGAUACUCAGUUCUACCACCACUCCAGUGUUGCAGGUGGGGCAAUUGGAACUCAGAGAGGGGACGUGACUUGCACAAGGACACACAGCCAGGAAAUAGCAGGGCCAGGAUUCUAAAAUUUUCCACAAAGCAAGUGAGGCAAAAAUAGUGUUUGUGCUCAAUCUUCUGGAGCCGAAGCUGACCCUUCCCUCUGGGUGGGGACACUUGAAUUGAAUACAAUCUUAGAGGGAGGGAAUGGGAUGGUCCCCCAUUCUAAUGGGAUGUCACGAUGAUGGGGAGAGACGUUUUCCUUUUUUCCUAGCUCGGAAUUUUAGAAGUCUGUUUUCUCGACCUCAUACUGUUCUUCUCUGCUCAGAUAUAGCCCGUCUCUCCAACCCAGCUCUGGCCAUCUGCCCCGUGUCUGAAGGGACUGCACGGUGCAAAGGCCGAAGGAAGAGAUCCAAGUUCCGUUCCUGCUGUCUGACCUCAGGCAAAUCACUAACUCUCUCUGGACCUCAGUUUGCUUAUCUGAAAAAGGGGUAGGUAAAGUCUAGAUGAGCUCUGGGAGCCCGCCCACGCUUCUAAAGCUUCCAGUCUGGCCCCCUGCCUGCAGCUCCGCCACAGAAGAACUGGGGCCCAGGGCAACGUCUGGCCCUAUCCUGGCACCUCGGUGCUUUGUCCUGCUGGGGACAUCUGCAAGUCUCCCCAGGCCUCCGUGGAUGGCCCCAGCUGCCCUCUCUGGUGAGCUCAGCACAGCAUUCGUGAGAACCGAUGGUGGAGAUCAAGACAGAUAUGCCGAAAUGAGGCUCUCUGUCUCUGUCUCUGUCUCUGUCUCUGUCUCUGCCCCACGCAGGCUUCCUCCCUCAAGGCAGCUGCAGACUGGCCUGGGGGAGGACUGGUUGCCAUUCCAGAAGGAGCAAAAACUCGGGGUGGAUGGGUUCCAUUAGCUCAUUCUUCUAAUUGUUCUAGCUGGUUAUUGUUUCUCCUGAUUUAUUUCCAAUUAGCGCUAGGGAGCUCAGCUUGGGGUUGAUUCUGCCAGUUUCCCGGAGCCAGUUCUCAGCUAUUUCUGGCUUGGCCAGACCCAAAGCCUUCCUGCUUCCAUGCUAGCUGCCAUUCGGGGAGGGCCUUCUGGGCACUUAGACCACGCUGCCUGCCACCCUCCCGACAGCACUUGUGAAGCUGGUCUCGUCAUCGCCAUUUCACAAAAGCGGAAACUGAGGCUCAGUGAGGCGAAGGGACUUGCCCAGGUUCCCGCUGGCGGUGAGCGGGCGGUGAAGGCGAAUGCUGUCUUACAGGCCGUCAAAGACAGGCGCGUUUCAGCAAAAUUGGUUGCCAUGGUCUGCUCUAUUGCGCCCGGCGCACUGCCUUGCCAUCGCAUUACUUGCACUACUUAGAAACAAUUAAUCCACAAAUAAACCCCAGGCCUCGUCUUCCAAUCGGAAACCCGGAUUCUGGGACUUUUCGGGCCGUUUCUGAGCUAGCCGGGAAAUCUCCUGGUCAUAUUAGGAAUAAGCGAAGCCAUUUGGGUUUUAAUAACAUGGUGAGAAAAUGGUGUGACUUUAAAGUCUUUAUUAGCCCUGGAAUGCAUUUUCCAAAGCAGGAAUUAGCUGACACAGGCAGAGUGUCAGCUGGAAAAACAAGGUCUGGGUUAGGUGGCCCAGAAAAAAACCUGCUUUGGUGCCCAGAGCCUCCCACUGAUUUCAAUUGCUGGUUAGCACAGGCCAGCAGAAUAAUUGUCCCAUCGGUGAACGUGCCAUUAGAAAUGACCCCACACAGCUAAUGGGGGUUUAAUACUGGCUUGCUUGGUCCUUGGUAUGGGUCCUGUUCUCAUUUUUAGUAAGAAAAUUACCUGUCUGUCAUUUCUUUUAAACUUGUACAGUAAUAAUUAGCCAGGCCCCAAAGAGAAGCUGGUUCCCCUUAACCUUGGCCGGAUGAAGGCUCAGUGACCCAUUAAAGUCUGUGAAGUCAUUUGACUCUGGCUGGCUAGGGAGGCAAUGUGGCAGAUAUUUGAUAGAAAAUGGUUAUAAUACCUCACAUUUGUUCCUCCUUUUACACUCUUCAGAGCUCAGGGUAACCUUGGGGUCAUAAGCAAGGAUUCUCACGAAGGGGUCGGCCAACCAUGGCCUGCCAGCCAAUCUGACCCACCUCAUACUUUUGCAAAUAAAGUGUUAUUGGAA